Manis pentadactyla (Chinese pangolin) is the source of this 570-nucleotide long non-coding RNA. RefSeq lists it as uncharacterized. The record is from RefSeq and is a predicted model, not a curated record. Lineage: Eukaryota; Metazoa; Chordata; Mammalia; Pholidota; Manidae. The transcript is spliced from 2 exons.
GGCUGAAUGAAUUUACUAUUCAUGCGGUAUAUCCCCGUUUUUGCUGGGUUUGUAUCAUCUUUCUUUUUGACGUUCAAAGAGGCUUUAUAAAUAGGCUCUUCCUCGCCUGAGUUGCAGCUGUCCUGUGCCUGUCGUUGGCACGAGUCCUUGGGCAUUACUUACCAUUUCUUAUUGCUCGUUGUGGGCCAAGCAAAAGUGUUAAGUUUUCACAUAGUCUUUUCCACUAUUGCGGUGCAUUGAAAGGCCAUCCAAAGUCAAGAAUGUUGUCCAAUAGCAGCAAAGAAUGGAAACAGCUUGGGGUCAAAUAGACUUCCAACUUACAAAUCAAGCAUAUCACAGCCUCCUCACUGCCUGCAGCAUCAGAUCCAAGCCCCUUGGAGUGAAAAACAAGAUUCACUGUGAUUUGGUCCCCCUGCCUCUCUGACCCUGGCUAGAACUGGUCCCCAAGCAGGGCCCUUCACUCCUGCUCCAGGCAGUGAGCCCACAGCGUGGGUGUGUUUCUCUGGCACUCUCUGCCUCAGAUCCCCUUCCCACCUCAUCAUCUUCUAUUAAAUUCCUACUUAUCCCUUA